CCCCGAUCUGCAGAACAGGGUUCACAAUACAUAGAACCACAGCGCCCACAAAACAGCAUGUAUAUGCUAUCAGUAUGCAGAUUUUUAAAAAAGGAUGUAUGUAUAUAUAUAUAUAUAUAUGGACACACACUUCUGUGUUUCAGAAUGUAAAUUUGCCAUUUCUUUCACUUUCUUAUUCACUCAGGUUGCGGUUCUGUGGCCACCGUCCAUCCGCAGGUUUGUGUGGUCUGCAGCCAGCAGCCAGUCCAGGCCUUGCAAACCAGUUGUGUGGACUCUUCAGCCAAUCAGUGCAGUGACGUCAGGACCGCCCAACCCCGAGCCCGCUACCGCUGGUCAGCUCGGGAUGUGGACCAACAUCGGAAAUCAAUCGCGCACUGAAAUUGAAAUCAGAGGCAAACCCGGCGACACGGAUUUCUAAUUAAAACUGAGAAAACGGUAAGACUUCUGAGAGAGAAAAAAAACCACUCUGUUUUAACUAGGCUCUGAAGACGACGUGGCCUUCGCACACCCAAAUAUGUUUCUGCGGGUGAAAACCAAAAGAAAACGCAGAUAUGUACUUGUUUUUAAAUGUAACUGAAGGAAGGUGAAACCUUUCGCAGAUUAUUGCAGUGUGCGGAAAUGAAUCUCAUUGCGCAAACCAGACUCUGACGGGCAGAAAUGACACUGGCUGUGCGUCUAAGUGUGUCACAUGAACGUACCAUUUCCAGCCAGACCCUCUGGUCAGACUGCUGUCAUGAAGUGCGCACAAAAUCUCCUUCGCCACUUCCUCUUCCUCUUCUAGCCAAAGACUGAAAUAGAAUGGCAUGUAGCCCAUAGAACGCAUCAAAGCAACAGCAAAAAGCUACUUUAGCUAAAGCUGUUCCAAACGCGACAAAAACCUGUGCAUACAUACAGUGCCGUGAAAAGUAUUUCCCCGAUUCCUGAUUUCCUCUGUUAUUGCAUAUUUGUCUCCAUAAUAAUAAUAAUAAUAAUAAUAAUAAUAAAAUUUAUUUUAGUGAUAUAACGCUGUGGCAUUUGAUGAACCGGAUUCCUCUUUUAGUGUGCAGAUAAACGAAACAAAACUCAAAGACUCGCUCCCCCGGUCUCGGGCCCGGCCUGUGGAGAGGAACACACCUUUACGCACCUGGGCUGAUUAGUGAACGCCACCCAGGUGCGUGUGCUCUCUCCGCCAGCCGGCGUUGCCGAGACCAGUCCGGUUCACCGCCGGACCGAAUGCCAGAAUGCCACAAGCAGCUUUCCAGAGCCCACGGUCACUUAAAGUUAACAGGAUUUUUUUUAAAACAGUAAACACAGAAGAGAGUGAAGAAAUAAAGUAUAAAGUAUAUAAAGUAUGAAAAACAAACACACGAAGCGAGGCAAUAGUGAAGCUAAGGGUAACCUAUGCUGAAGACGUGGGUCUUGAGUAGGGAUUUUAAAAUUCGAACUCUGCUUCCACAACGAGGGGGGCAGCCACAGAGAAAACUCUGUCACCAAAUUUAUGGCAAUGGGUCUUCGGGAUGGUGAGUAGCAUGCCAGUGUUAGAGGAGCGGAGGGUGCGAGGGGAAGCGUACACUGUUGGUAGGCGAGUGAGGUAGGGAGGGGCCAGGUUAUUGAGAGCUUUGUAGAAAAGAAAUUUGAAUUUGAUACGUGCUUUGAUGGGAAGCCAGUGUAGUUUUUCUUUAAAGUGGGUGUGAUGUGUUGCCAGGAUACAGUGUGUGUUACUGUAGCAUUCUCGCUGCAGAGUUUUGGAUGUGUUGCAGUUCAGUCAGUAGGGUAUUAGGGAGGCCAUAGAGUCUGGAAAAGGGUACAAAGCCAUUUCUAAGGCUCUGGGACUCCACUGAACCACAGUGAGAGCCAUUAUCUCCAAAUGGAGAACACUUGGGACAGUGGUGAAUCUUCCCAGGAGUGGCUGGCAGUAAGUGGCAGUAAGACAAUGAUGCAAAACACAAAAACAAAUUCACAUCUGAAUGGCUGAAAAGAAACGAUAUUUAUGUUUUGGAGUGGCCUAGUGGAAGUCCUCACAUUAACCCAACAGACACUGUGGCAGGACCUGAAACUAGCACUUCAUGCUCAAAAACUUACCAGUGUGUCUGAAUUAAACUAAGUUCUGCAAAUUAGAGAGCGUUAAAAUUCCUCUGCAGUGGUGUGAAAGACAGAUCUAAUUACAUUGAGUGUUUGGUCGCAGUUAUUGAUGCUACCAGUUAUUCAUUUUAAGGGGGUAAUUACUUUUUCACAUGGGUGAUAACUUAUUUCAUUAUUACUUUUUCAUUAUUUUCAAAAUGUGUUUUUUGUUUACUCUGCUUCCCUUUGUCUAAUAAUACAUUUUGUUUAAAGAUCUGAAACCAUUAAAAGUGACAGAUAUGCAACAAUAGAAGAAAUCAAAAAGGGGGAAAAAAUACUUUUUCACGGCACUGUCCAAGAACACAUUCUUCUGCCACACAGAAAACCUCCAUCCCCAGAAGUAAAAAGGAUUUCACCAAAUUAACCCGACUUUUUGGCGAAGGUGCUGGAAAAGGUGAUGGUUAACUGGCACGUUUAACAAUGCAGUUACUACUCCGGGAAAAGAACACAGGGAACUAAUACAACGCAUCGUAUGUCGAGGCGUCAUCGCUGUGUAGAAAAACGCAUAGAUUGGGCAUGAAGUUAACGAUCAAGGGCAAGGGACUCCAAAUGGGCAGGGUUGGGGGUCUUGGGUCUGGAUUGGAGACCUUGGAAUGGACUCUCUCUCUCUCCACUGUGUCAGAUUCCUUAAAUUCAAAACCCCAGUUGAGGAAGCAGAUUGCCAUUGCGGGAAAAUCCAGUCUUAAUCGCGUAUUCACGUAGCCUGGUCUGAACUUUAUUCGCCCAAGGAAACGAAACUCCAGCAUAUGCACUAGAACUAACGGUGUGGCGUGGAUCAAAAGAGGGAAAAAACAUCAAUUGCGAAAAGUAGGCAAUUUCUUAUGUUGUUACUGCUUCGCUUAACAAUUGCGCUAAUAAAAAAACCGGUAUUUAGAAUAAGAGAUCUGACGGGGAUUGAUUUGCCAUGUCGGAUGCUACCCGGCUAACUCACACAAAAGUAACAGCGGCGGUCAUAUGGCAAUAAGGAAGUUUUUAGGUAGUUCGCAAGUUCGUAUUCAGGUUGUGUGUCAUUAUCAACACAGGAAUCUACACGUCGUUUUACAAUCGUACAUUAUGAAAGUAGCCUACACUAGUUUAAGGCUUUUAAAAUCGAUACCAAAGUCUCCUCUUAUGUCUUUUGUUUGAAUACAAAUGGAAGGGUUUUUUGUUUGUUUGUUUUUUUGCCGUAUGCCAAAUUCUUGCCAGUGUAGAACAUUAAUCUAAUGGCAGAAUUUGCGCAUGAUCAACCACAAUAAACCAACACACGGAUAUUUGCAUUUGUGUAUAACACACUUCUAUAAAUGACUAGGUACGUCUGCAAAAGAAAAAAGAAAAAGCUAACAUAAUCAUACGUAACGGUCAUGCAUAUUCCUACCUGUCCAGUGUUUCACGCCCAGAUUUUUCAACGCAUCCAAGUAAUUUCACCUUCCAACUUUAAAGCGUCCUUUUCUGCAUUAGUUCUGUCAUAAGUGUGGCGAAAACUGAGAGCUGAAACAUUCACCGCUCAAA
Molecule: long non-coding RNA, 3588 nt
Organism: Anguilla rostrata (American eel)
Lineage: Eukaryota; Metazoa; Chordata; Actinopteri; Anguilliformes; Anguillidae
Exons: 2
Source: RefSeq, a predicted model, not a curated record